GUUUAUCUUUCAUUGCUGCUGUUUUUCUCACGCUUCGGAGAUUGUUGAAACGAUGGAUUCUCGAAGAGUCACUUUCCUCUUAUUCUGUGUUUUGAUUUCAGCCUUCAUGAUCUGUCAAACAGAAGCAGUGUUCGGUCCUCGUCAUCCUGGAUCACUAAGGAUGAAAAAAGAUAGAGAAUUAUUUCAGAAGCGUUCAUUUUAUCAAGCGAACACUGUCCGUGACAUUUGUGUGGCUAUGAGGGAAGUUUGUGAACAAGAAAAUGACGAUCAAAACGGACUCUUUCAAUAAGUUCUUUAAGCAGUAAAGAUUAUUUCAAAAUGAAGUGUAAUCUCGUCCGGUAUCCAUGUCAGAGCGAUAAAUAACAAAUAAUAAAUCGCUUGAAAUAUCA
Long non-coding RNA from Pocillopora verrucosa, 389 nucleotides. RefSeq lists it as uncharacterized. The record is from RefSeq and is a predicted model, not a curated record. Lineage: Eukaryota; Metazoa; Cnidaria; Anthozoa; Scleractinia; Pocilloporidae.